UUCGCAAUGCCCGAAAGGGUGACGAAGCGACGCCGCGUGUGGGAUGAAGGCCCUCGGGUUGUAAACCACUGUCGGGAGUUAAGAAUUGUAGGAAUGCUAAUAGUAUUUCUACUUGACUAAGGCUCCGGAGGAAGCCACGGCUAACUCUGUGCCAGCAGCCGCGGCAAUACAGAGGCGGCAAGCGUUGUUCGGAAUUAUUGGGCGUAAAGAGCAUGUAGGCGGCUAUGUAAGUCGGUUGUGAAAGCCUUCCGCUUAACGGAAGAAUGGCGGUCGAAACUGCAUGGCUUGAGUGCGGGAGGGGAGAGUGGAACUUCUGGUGGAGCGGUGAAAUGCGUAGAUAUCAGAAGGAACGUCGGCGGCGAAAGCGACUCUCUAGACCGUAACUGACGCUGAGUGUGCGAAAGCUAGGGGAGCAAACGGGAUUAGAUACCCCGGUAGUCCUAGCCGUAAACGAUGGGCACUAAGUAGAGGGGUUUU
This 477-nucleotide ribosomal RNA is filed under the name anammox bacterium enrichment culture clone EAB17. RNAcentral's name for it is "bacterial SSU rRNA". It matches the Rfam family "Bacterial small subunit ribosomal RNA", at positions 365 to 832 of the family's 1533-position model. The record is from RNAcentral.